Long non-coding RNA from Cebus imitator (Panamanian white-faced capuchin), 1454 nucleotides. RefSeq lists it as uncharacterized. NCBI's taxonomy places the organism in Eukaryota, Metazoa, Chordata, Mammalia, Primates, Cebidae. The transcript has 4 exons. The record is from RefSeq and is a predicted model, not a curated record.
CCUGCGGAACGCACUUCGAGGAGGGCGCCUGCACCCACACUCAGCUGUUCACGAGUCUUUCUUCCGUUUCUCUUCUGAAAGUCGUCCCCGGCCUUCUCUUUUUUUCUCUUCUUGUUUCCCUCUGGGAGUCUGCGCAACAGUGAAUUUCCGUUUCCGGUGGUUUCCAUUCCGACCUGAGCAGUUCAAACUGUGAGCUGGGUCAGUGCCGCAGGCUGUGGUUAGAGUUACUUGUUAUUGGUAAGUAGCCACUAUGGAGGCUAAGGACCAGAAGAAACACAGAAAGAAAAACAGUGGGCCCAAAGCUGAAAAGAAAAAGAAGUGGCAUCUGCAGGAUCUCCAACUAGGAGACGAGGAAGAUGCCCGGAAGAGAAAUCCCAGAGCUUUUGCAGUUCAGUCUACUGUGCAGAUGGCUUGAUCCUUUCACUGGACUCAGGAUUUGAAGACAAAGAAGCAUCAUAUUCCAGUGGUUGAUCGAACUCCACUAGAGUCCCCAUCAAUAGUGGUAAUGGUGAUGGGGCCUCUAAAAGUUGGAAAGACCACUUUGAUACAGUGCCUCAUCAGAAGUUCACCAAGCAGAAGUUGACCGAGAUCUGAGGCCCUGUGACAGUCGUGUCAGAGUGCCAAGCUGUUCUACUUUUCUGGAGUGGUGCAUGGAGAAUAUCAAAAUGAGGAAACUGACAAUCUGGGCCAUUUUUAUUACAGUUAUGAAGUUUAGGCCUCUCACAUGGCAAACUUCUCACCCUUAUAUCCUGGCAGACAGGUAAAAAGUGAUUGUAAACUUUUUCUUCAUGGGUCUUAUAUUUCAAAGCUAAAAAGGCUAGAAAAAGAACAGUGAUAGAAUUUAUGUUUUGCCUAUUUGAAUAGUGGGGGUAGAAGUGUAGUUGAUGGAAAAUGUCUAUUGCUCCAAGAUGCUGUGCCUUUGGGAGUAAAUCAUGAAGUAUUUAGGAAAAUGGGAGGACUUGGAAGCACUUAAGGCUACAGAAUGUGGCUCCCUCCUGUGUUCAGUGUCAGUUUUCAGUGAUGCUGCCUUGUGUCCAUGGCUUGAGUUCUUUGUGUGUGCCUUCAGUUUCCUUCCUUCGUGCUCUUCCUCAUGUGGCUUUCUCAUCCUGGAAUACCCUUUUCCAUCUACCAGAAUCCACAUCACAGUAAAAAUCCCAUAGUACAGGCCUACCCUCUUCCAGAAAGGGAUUUUCUGAAUAUGUUUUUCACUCUUCCCUGACCCCAGGUGGAUAUCAUCUCCCUGUCUGGUGUGAUAGAAUGAAUGUCACUUUUAGCCUACAGUGGUAUGUCUGCCUCUUUUCCUCUGGUGGAUGGUGAAUGGUGCUUCCUUAUUUCUGUAUUUUCUAGUUUUCUAAAUGACAUCCUUAGCGGACAAGAGUAUGGUGAGUCAUUGAAACAUGAAAGGAGGUACAGGAACUUUUGACAUUCAUUUCUGCUGUAUGACUGAAUUUAUU